UACGAAGGGGGCUAGCGUUGCUCGGAUUGACUGGGCGUAAAGGGCGCGCAGGCGGCGCAUUUUGUCAGGCGUGAAAGCCCCGGGCUUAACCUGGGAACUGCGUUUGAUACGGAUGGGCUAGAGUUCGGGAGAGGAGAGUGGAAUUCCCAGUGUAGAGGUGAAAUUCGUAGAUAUUGGGAAGAACACCGGUGACGAAGGCGGCUCUCUGGACCGAGACUGACGCUGAGGCGCGAAAGCGUGGGGAGCAAACAGG
This 253-nucleotide ribosomal RNA is filed under the name uncultured bacterium. Its description in RNAcentral is "partial 16S ribosomal RNA". It matches the Rfam family "Bacterial small subunit ribosomal RNA", at positions 524 to 776 of the family's 1533-position model. The record is from RNAcentral.